AUUGAACGCUGGCGGCAUGCCUUACACAUGCAAGUCGAACGGCAGCACGGGAGCAAUCCUGGUGGCGAGUGGCGAACGGGUGAGUAAUAUAUCGGAACGUGCCCGGUCGUGGGGAUAACGUAGCGAAAGCUACGCUAAUACCGCAUACGAUCUAUGGAUGAAAGCGGGGGAUCGCAAGACCUCGCGCGAUUGGAGCGGCCGAUAUCAGAUUAGGUAGUUGGUGAGGUAAAGGCUCACCAAGCCGACGAUCUGUAGCUGGUCUGAGAGGACGACCAGCCACACUGGGACUGAGACACGGCCCAGACUCCUACGGGAGGCAGCAGUGGGGAAUUUUGGACAAUGGGCGCAAGCCUGAUCCAGCAAUGCCGCGUGCAGGAUGAAGGCCUCGGUUGUAAACUGCUUUGUACGGUAACGAAACGGUAGAGCUCUAAUACAGUUGCUAAUGACGGUACCGUAAGAAUAAGACACCGGC
RNAcentral lists this ribosomal RNA (472 nucleotides) under uncultured bacterium. RNAcentral's name for it is "bacterial SSU rRNA". It matches the Rfam family "Bacterial small subunit ribosomal RNA", at positions 30 to 497 of the family's 1533-position model. The record is from RNAcentral.